This 429-nucleotide ribosomal RNA is filed under the name Chloroflexota bacterium. Its description in RNAcentral is "Chloroflexi bacterium partial 16S ribosomal RNA". It matches the Rfam family "Bacterial small subunit ribosomal RNA", at positions 355 to 776 of the family's 1533-position model. Lineage: Bacteria; Bacillati; Chloroflexota. The record is from RNAcentral.
UAGGGAAUCUUCGGCAAUGGACGAAAGUCUGACCGAGCAACGCCGCGUGAGUGAAGAAGGUUUUCGGAUUGUAAAACUCUGUUGUUAGAGAAGAACAAGGACGUUAGUAACUGAACGUCCCCUGACGGUAUCUAACCAGAAAGCCACGGCUAACUACGUGCCAGCAGCCGCGGUAAUACGUAGGUGGCAAGCGUUGUCCGGAUUUAUUGGGCGUAAAGCGAGCGCAGGCGGUUUCUUAAGUCUGAUGUGAAAGCCCCCGGCUCAACCGGGGAGGGUCAUUGGAAACUGGGAGACUUGAGUGCAGAAGAGGAGAGUGGAAUUCCAUGUGUAGCGGUGAAAUGCGUAGAUAUAUGGGGGAACACCAGUGGCGAAGACGGCUCUCUGGUCUGUAACUGACGCUGAGGCUCGAAAGCGUGGGGAGCAAACAGG